RNAcentral lists this ribosomal RNA (254 nucleotides) under uncultured bacterium. RNAcentral describes it as "partial 16S ribosomal RNA". It matches the Rfam family "Bacterial small subunit ribosomal RNA", at positions 524 to 776 of the family's 1533-position model. The record is from RNAcentral.
UACGUAGGGGGCGAGCGUUGUCCGGAUUUAUUGGGCGUAAAGAGCUCGUAGGCGGUUUGGUAAGUCGGGUGUGAAAGUCCGAGGCUCAACCUCGGGAAGCCACCCGAUACUGCUAUGACUUGAGUCCGGUAGAGGAGUGUGGAAUUCCUGGUGUAGCGGUGAAAUGCGCAGAUAUCAGGAGGAACACCAAUGGCGAAGGCAGCACUCUGGGCCGGUACUGACGCUGAGGAGCGAAAGCGUGGGUAGCAAACAGG